UACGUAGGGCGCAAGCGUAUCCGGAAUUAUUGGGCGUAAAGAGCUCGUAGGCGGUUUGUCGCGUCUGCCGUGAAAGUCCGGGGCUCAACUCCGGAUCUGCGGUGGGUACGGGCAGACUAGAGUGAUGUAGGGGAGACUGGAAUUCCUGGUGUAGCGGUGAAAUGCGCAGAUAUCAGGAGGAACACCGAUGGCGAAGGCAGGUCUCUGGGCAUUAACUGACGCUGAGGAGCGAAAGCAUGGGGGAGCGAACAGG
Molecule: ribosomal RNA, 253 nt
Filed under: uncultured bacterium
Lineage: Bacteria
Description: partial 16S ribosomal RNA
Rfam family: Bacterial small subunit ribosomal RNA
Source: RNAcentral